RNAcentral lists this long non-coding RNA (276 nucleotides) under Carica papaya (papaya). Its description in RNAcentral is "long non-coding RNA (CPAP_LNC002809)". The record is from RNAcentral. Lineage: Eukaryota; Viridiplantae; Streptophyta; Magnoliopsida; Brassicales; Caricaceae.
CCAGACCACAAACCCUAGCCGCCAGCCGCUCGCCGGAGAAGACGAACCAGAGGCCGACCGCCGCCACCCGCCGCCACUCGCCGCCGCACCGGGGAAAUUUCCGACCGCCGAUCGAGGUAAAUUUCAUACCCCCGACUCGUUCUUCCCACUGAUUCCUCCUAUGGCCAAAUCGAAGCCGAAAUCCCGGCCAAACGGCCGGAAUACGCGGCCGAAGCCCAGCGGCGCCGCCGCACCCCCUCUCGGUUUUUGCCUCCGACGAGGCCCUUCCCGGCCUCC